UACGGAGGGUGCAAGCGUUGCUCGGAAUUACUGGGCGUAAAGGGCGUGUAGGCGGUUUCGUAUGUCUGGCGUGAAAGCCCCGGGCUCACCUCGGGAAGUGCGUCGGAAACUGCGAGACUAGAAUCCCGGAGAGGGAGGUGGAAUUCCAGGUGUAGCGGUGAAAUGCGUAGAUAUCUGGAAGAACACCGGUGGCGAAGGCGGCCUCCUGGACGGUGAUUGACGCUGAGACGCGAAAGCGUGGGGAGCAAACAGG
This 253-nucleotide ribosomal RNA is filed under the name uncultured bacterium. RNAcentral's name for it is "partial 16S ribosomal RNA". It matches the Rfam family "Bacterial small subunit ribosomal RNA", at positions 524 to 776 of the family's 1533-position model. The record is from RNAcentral.